UGGGCCUAUAGGGGUUACACAUUUCCUCAUGUUGUCGAAAACUCCAACUGCGCCAUACCUUAGGGGUGCAGAUCCUGAUUGACAAGGAAUAACAGAAACAGAUAUAACAACAGUGAGACCAAAUGGGAGAUCCAAUGAAAAAAAAACAGUAAUGGAUAAACCGAGGCCUAUAGAUUUCAACUGCCUCACAACCGCCGCCAGAGAGGUCAGAUUGUCCAGAGCGCUGCCUUUUCCUCCGCCAACACCGCUGUGUCAGAUGUUAAGCUGCGGCUCCAGGAGGACCACAGCAAUGGCUUCAAUCCCAUCCUCCACUUUUGCUUCUGGAUCGACUUGGGGAAAGAACGGAGGAGAGCACAAGCAUUAUGAAUUUAUUUGCUAUAGAGUUUGUCAGGGAGAAAGUUCACGAACGAAAGAAAUCUAAUUGAGAGGGCUGGAUGAAAAGAAACACCCGUCAGAGCUUUCAACAACUCGAAGGGAGUACAUACUUUGUAUGCCAUGGAUACAGAAUGGAUACGUAAUUAGAUCAAUUGAUGGGUGCCGCUGUUUUGGAUAUCUACAUCCAGCAAUACCUGUUCGAAGCUUGAAUCUCACCGAGCUUCAGUUACUGUUUCAAAGGGUGAAAAAGAGUGGGGGACACGGGAAGAGGGGAGAAAGAGGACAAAAGAAUGGUUUGUUCUACUUUCAAUGCUUUGGGUUAAAAAAAGAAAAAAGAGCAUGUGGUGUGGAAACACACCAGCUAAGCCUCACUUUUGAUGUCGAACUCGAGUGUGGCUCUAAUCUAGCCCCCGAAAUUCCAACAUAGCAUGUAGCAAUGCAUUAUGUUUUCCUGUGUGAUCUUCAUACAAAGGUGCAAGACAUAUGAGCUUCUAAUCAAGAAAGACCUGCUUUUAAAUCCCACUGUGUGUUCUAAGUGCUGGAUGGGUUGUGCUUUUACCAACCCUAAUAAAAUUAUAUUUGAAUCA
This is a long non-coding RNA of Pyrus x bretschneideri (Chinese white pear), 962 nucleotides long. RefSeq lists it as uncharacterized. NCBI's taxonomy places the organism in Eukaryota, Viridiplantae, Streptophyta, Magnoliopsida, Rosales, Rosaceae. The transcript is spliced from 10 exons. The record is from RefSeq and is a predicted model, not a curated record.